CAAUAGCGUAUAUUAAAGUUGUUGCAGUUAAAAAGCUCGUAGUUGGAUUUGUGGCGUACGGUGGGUUCCGGGCACUUGUUGUCUGAGUAACUUGCUGUCGCCAUCCUUGGGUGGAACCUGUGUGGCAUUAGGUUGUCGUGCAGGGGAUGCCCAUCAUUUACUGUGAAAAAAUUAGAGUGUUCAAAGCAGGCUUAUGCCGUUGAAUAUAUUAGCAUGGAAUAAUGAGAUAGGACUUUUUUGCUAUUUUGUUGGUUUGCGCAAAGAGGUAAUGAUUAAUAGGGACAGUUGGGGGUAUUCGUAUUCCAUUGUCAGAGGUGAAAUUCUUGGAUUUUUGGAAGACGAACUACUGCGAAAGCAUUUACCAAGGAUGUUUUCAUUAA
RNAcentral lists this ribosomal RNA (380 nucleotides) under uncultured eukaryote. RNAcentral describes it as "partial 18S ribosomal RNA". It matches the Rfam family "Eukaryotic small subunit ribosomal RNA", at positions 592 to 976 of the family's 1831-position model. The record is from RNAcentral.